Long non-coding RNA from Mytilus trossulus (common blue mussel), 227 nucleotides. RefSeq lists it as uncharacterized. Lineage: Eukaryota; Metazoa; Mollusca; Bivalvia; Mytilida; Mytilidae. The transcript is spliced from 3 exons. The record is from RefSeq and is a predicted model, not a curated record.
GUAAAAAUGGGGCAGGAUGCUGGUGGGUAACACAAAGAAACUUGAUGUGGUUAUUCCAACUGUUGUGCCAAAAAUAGGAAAGAGAUUACAUACAAAAUCAAGUCAGGUUUGUAUAACUUGUUUCCAGAUACUUGGAGAACCUACAAACGGCUAGUCAACCCCAACCAACCAGUUCCUAGACUAAGAGAGAAAUACGUCAACAGAGGUUGUCUUCUUGAUAUACCUAC